Molecule: ribosomal RNA, 1478 nt
Filed under: uncultured marine alveolate
Lineage: Eukaryota
Description: eukaryotic LSU rRNA
Rfam family: Eukaryotic large subunit ribosomal RNA (bases 534-1478)
Source: RNAcentral
GUCGUAACAAGGUUUCCGUAGGUGAACCUGCGGAAGGAUCAUUGACACGAAUCCACAUUAAAACCUGCAUUGACGGUGAUCUUCGGAUCAUGGGCUUGGAGCGGUGCGCUUCGUGCGCAUUGGCUACUCGUCACGUCGAACCUUUUUUCUAACCAUAUUCGUAAACAAAGCUUGAAAUAUCUUACAACUUUUAGCAAUGGAUGUCUCGGCUUUAGCAACGAUGAAGGACGCCGCAAAAUGCGAUAGGCGCUGUGAAUGGCAGAAUUCCGCGAAUCAAGAGAAUGCUGAACGCAUACUGCGCUCUCAGGUCAGUCCUGGGAGUAUGUUUUGCUGAGGGCAUUUAUACUUUAAUGCAAUCAAUCAUGCAGCUAUCUGCUAGUUGAUUUGCGUUCUUGUGCGACAGCGACGUCUAACCGUUGUCGCAUUAAAAUAAGUGUUUUCACUCCUAGUAUUCCGUAAGGUGACUUUCACAUGUAAUUCGUGAGAACGGAUGGAGACACUUCAAAGCAAUCGAGAGCUUCGGCUUUCUGUUCUUGCAUCAGCUGAAACAAGGCUACCCGCUGAAUUUAAGCAUAUAAGUAAGCGGAGGAAAAGAAAAUGAUCAUGAUUCCCUUAGUAAGGGCGACUGAACCGGGAAGAGCUCAAAUUGUAAAUCAGAAACUUUGUUUCUGAAUUGUAGUCUUGCGAAGUAUUACCAUUGUGAUCUACUGCCUAAGUCCCUUUGGAAGAAGGCGUCAGAGAGGGUGAGAAUCCCGUGCUGGUGGCCAGAUCACAUUGUCGGUGUGCUUUUUUUGAGUCGCGUACUUUGGACGUGGUGCGCUAAAUGGGAGGUAAUCUUCUUCUAAAGCUAAAUAUAGGCUAAAGACCGAUAGCACACAAGUACCGUGAGGGAAAGAUGAAAAGGACUUUGGAAAGAGAGUUAAAAGUGCCUGAAAUUGCUGAGAGGGAAGCGAAUGAAACCAGUGUCUUACUACGAGAUUGUUGUAAGCCAAGGCGAAUGCUUGUUUCGGCACCGCAAGGGUCGGGAUGGGUUUGGAUCUGGAAGCUUGCAGUGUUUCUCGUGGAAAGGUGUCAACAUAAGUUGGGUGCUCGGGGAUAAUCGCUGAAAGUCUGGGAUCGCUGCGGUGUGACCUGGCUUAGGUGGAGACCCUUCCCGACUUAGGAAUGCGUUCUGUUUUUACGGCUGCAUAAUCGUUGCAAAGAUUUCCUCGACUUCUAAAGUGGUGGUUAUUUAGUGGCGAUGAGUGGUUUUAUUGCAGUUCCAGGAUGUUGACGAAAUGGUUUUUUUCUACCCGUCUUGAAACACGGACCAAGGAGUCGACUUCUAUCGCGAGUAUGCGGGUUGUAAACCUGUAUGCGGAAUGAAAGUAACAGUUUGGAUUUUUUUGUUUUGCACAAACGACCGACUUCGAUCUUCUGAGAGAGGUUUGAGUAUGAGCGAUAAGGGUCGGACCCGAAAGAUGGUGAACUAUGCGUGA